GACGAACGCUGGCGGCGUGCUUAACACAUGCAAGUCGAACGGUAAGGCCCUUCGGGGUACCCGAGUGGCGAACGGGUGAGUAACGCGUGAGUAACCUGCCCUUCACUCUGGGAUAACAGUUGGAAACGGCUGCUAAUACCGGAUAUUCAGCUCCUGUCGCAUGGUGGGGGGUGGAAAGUUUUGGUGGUGGAGGAUGGGCUCGCGUCCUAUCAGCUUGUUGGUGGGGUGAUGGCCUACCAAGGCGUCGACGGGUAGCCGGCCUGAGAGGGCGACCGGCCACAUUGGGACUGAGAUACGGCCCAAACUCCUACGGGAGGCAGCAGUGGGGAAUAUUGCACAAUGGGCGGAAGCCUGAUGCAGCAACGCCGCGUGCGGGAUGACGUCCUUCGGGUUGUAAACCGCUUUCAGCAGGGACGAAGCGCAAGUGACGGUACCUGCAGAAGAAGCACCGGCUAACUACGUG
RNAcentral lists this ribosomal RNA (463 nucleotides) under uncultured bacterium. RNAcentral's name for it is "partial 16S ribosomal RNA". It matches the Rfam family "Bacterial small subunit ribosomal RNA", at positions 28 to 507 of the family's 1533-position model. The record is from RNAcentral.